GACGAACGCUGGCGGCGUGCUUAACACAUGCAAGUCGAACGGAAAGGCCCUGCUUUUGUGGGGUGCUCGAGUGGCGAACGGGUGAGUAACACGUGAGUAACCUGCCCUUGACUUUGGGAUAACUUCAGGAAACUGGGGCUAAUACCGGAUAGGAGCUCCUGCUACAUGGUGGGGGUUGGAAAGUUUCGGCGGUUGGGGAUGGACUCGCGGCUUAUCAGCUUGUUGGUGGGGUAGUGGCUUACCAAGGCUUUGACGGGUAGCCGGCCUGAGAGGGUGACCGGCCACAUUGGGACUGAGAUACGGCCCAGACUCCUACAGGAGGCAGCAGUGGGGAAUAUUGCACAAUGGGCGGAAGCCUGAUGCAGCAACGCCGCGUGCGAGAUGACGGCCUUCGGGUUGUAAACCGCUUUCGCCUGUGACGAAGCGUGAGUGAUGGUAAUGGGUAAAGAAGCACCGGCUAACUACGUG
This 468-nucleotide ribosomal RNA is filed under the name uncultured bacterium. Its description in RNAcentral is "partial 16S ribosomal RNA". It matches the Rfam family "Bacterial small subunit ribosomal RNA", at positions 28 to 507 of the family's 1533-position model. The record is from RNAcentral.